CUUUAGCAUCCAAGAUAGUUUACUCUCUAACCAAUUCUCCGUUGAUUUAUUUAACAAAAUUGUGCUGAUCAUUAAAACCCUUAAGCUUUUUCUUGUACAUGUUGACCAACUCAAAUUAAACAAGGAGCGGCUGGAGUGGUGAACACAAAAAUUCAAGACAGUUUGUCAUCAUUUUGCUGUUUAUACAAGCCCCUGUAAUGCACCGAAAAAAAAGGUUAGAAAACUUACCUUUCAUAAUGAAUCCGGAUGUAAAAAAUGUAAAAAAGAGACAUAAAUGUGUUAAACAAUUAGAUAAUCUUAACCUGGACUUAUAGCCAACACAAGGAUCAUCUUGAAAUGGCUAAAUUAAACAGCAAUAAUCUCAACAAAAGCAACAUUUACAUGAUAAUACACCAUAUAAAACAAUAGCAAUUGCCUUAAAACAAUCAACAGCUUUUUGAACAUACAAGCGCCAUUGCUAAUGUAAACGCGCUGCCAGCUAUAAGGAGUUCAGUUAAUUGCAAAAAAGGAGCUGUUAUUUACAAGUUUUAGUAAUCUACCGAUAGGCCACUUAUACCGUUGGCCUCAACUCAUAACAUACAGUCUAUUAAUCCUUACACUUAUAAGCUGUCUCGUAAUCAUUACCGAGACUCAUUUUCAAAGCAAAAUUAUUAUUCUUUUUAGUGACCAAAUUACUUUUACAUGGAAAGACUGGACUUGGAUAUCCGAUUGUUGGAUUGUAAUUGCAGGCCAACUUGUGAAUCCACCGACUCUGUGAACAGUACCAGCCACACAACUGCUUUAAUGAAUUUCAAAUCAACUCAAUCCAUCCAGAUAGACAUUCAGUUUUUCAGGGCAAAGCCAGGCCCAUCUUUUUGAUUCCUUUUUUCCUCUUAAAUAUUAUUUUCUUUUCUAUUUUCUACCUUUUUCUUCUAGAUUUCCUCCUUUUUUCCGCUCUUCAUUUCUAACUAAUUAACAUUGCCAGUUUCAUCAAGACAAUGGAUCAGAAGGUGGAAGAUUAUAUUAAAAGAUUCAACUUAAGUGGUUAAUCAUUAACAUGGGCCAUAACACAGCUUAACAAUGUUGCUUCAACCAAACACUGACCAAAUGUUUAUUCAUAUUCAUCAACAAAACACAACAAUAUCUAAUCAAUUUAAAUGCUAAAUAGAAGCCAAUGUUUAUUCAAGUUACCUGAGGUUUCCUUGUUUUACCUACAACUUUUCAAAAAUCCAUUCAACACAGGAAAUAUUCCAGAUCAACUCAUUUCCAUAUCAACCAUGAGCCUAUCAAGUGUCUACGAAUCAUCUAACAAUUUGAAUACAAUCAAUGUAACUGAAACUUUGCUUCAUUUGAACUAAAAGUGGAAACCAUUCAACAGACCCAUUGAUGAUUCAAUUAAAUUGCUAUCAAAUGAA
Non-coding RNA from Tetranychus urticae (two-spotted spider mite), 1394 nucleotides. The record is from RefSeq and is a predicted model, not a curated record. NCBI's taxonomy places the organism in Eukaryota, Metazoa, Arthropoda, Arachnida, Trombidiformes, Tetranychidae.